CAAAUUAGAGCUUGAAUAUAAGCAUUUCAUUUACAUUGAAAAGAUAAUAUUAUUUAUUUAAUUUGA
RNAcentral lists this transfer RNA (66 nucleotides) under Eugnosta dives. Its description in RNAcentral is "tRNA-Val". The record is from RNAcentral. Lineage: Eukaryota; Metazoa; Arthropoda; Insecta; Lepidoptera; Tortricidae.